RNAcentral lists this ribosomal RNA (299 nucleotides) under Cyanobium sp. MAG_04. Its description in RNAcentral is "partial 16S ribosomal RNA". It matches the Rfam family "Bacterial small subunit ribosomal RNA", at positions 1 to 331 of the family's 1533-position model. The record is from RNAcentral. Lineage: Bacteria; Bacillati; Cyanobacteriota; Cyanophyceae; Synechococcales; Prochlorococcaceae.
ACAACGGAGAGUUUGAUCCUGGCUCAGGAUGAACGCUGGCGGCGUGCUUAACACAUGCAAGUCGAACGAGCCUUCGGGUUAGUGGCGGACGGGUGAGUAACGCGUGGGAAUCUGCCCUCAGGAGGGGGAUAACGGCUGGAAACGGCCGCUAAUACCCCAUAUGCCGAGAGGUGAAAUGAAUUUCGCCUGAGGAUGAGCUCGCGUCUGAUUAGCUAGUUGGUGUGGUAAAGGCUCACCAAGGCUUCGAUCAGUAGCUGGUCUGAGAGGAUGAUCAGCCACACUGGGACUGAGACACGGCC